This 1317-nucleotide long non-coding RNA is filed under the name Bemisia tabaci. RNAcentral describes it as "lncRNA ENSSSA2NGG005585". Lineage: Eukaryota; Metazoa; Arthropoda; Insecta; Hemiptera; Aleyrodidae. The record is from RNAcentral.
AUUUUCUGUUAAGUAAUCAUGGAAACUGCCAACCUAUUGCCAACUGAGCCCACUUUAUUGAUCGAAAGCCACGAAUUGCCUUGUUUGAUUUGUAACUCUGGAACAUCAAUUCAGAACAGUUACAGUAUUUUUAUACGGUUUACCCAACAAGGGAACUUUGCUGUGCAACAGCAUACAGAAAGUGAUUAAACGCGCAAUCGAUCCAGAUGUCAUCAGGAGCACUGUCCUUUGUAGCAGAUGCUUCUCAUUGUUCGAUGAAUUAGAGGUUUGUGAAGAUAGAUGUUUUCAGCUACGCCAAAAUAUUAUAUCAUGGUUCAAUACAUCUUGCCAAAUUUAUGGUGAUGUAAAUUCGUUCGUCACGGAUGGAGUUGCCUGUCAGACAGAUCCCAUUACAAGCGACAUUGUAGAUAUACCUGUUCAAACCCUUCCGAACCCACCUCCAGGAUGCAAUCCCAUCCCACCAUCUCAAUCAACCGAAGUCGCUGUGUAUGAGUCAUUCAAUGUUGAAAACUCGAACUCAUCAAUUCUAUCCAACAAUGACGCAAGUAGCCCAAAAGAAUACGGAAAUGAGGAAUUUGUGGAAGACCCAAAAAUCGUCAAGCAAUCAGAAAUGAUCGUGCCUGUAACGAAAGAAGCAAUGCGCCGUCUUCGGCGGUAUCGGCACCAGUGUCAUCACUGUAACCGAAUGUUCAGACGCCCAAGCGAACUUAAAAAACAUGUAGCUACACACACAGAUUCUAAACCAUUUACUUGUGGCAAAUGUCACAGAAAGUUUGCCUCAAACAAGGCAUAUUAUUCAUUUAUCAAGAACCCAUAAUAUUGAAGCCUCAGAGGAUUCUUCUGCAAUUGAAGCAUUGAGUGACUCGCAGAGAGAUGAAUCUGGGAAAAAUCCUGAGGAUUUUGUUCUAGCUGUUAUUGGUGAGAACUCCAUAGCCACCAAAUCUUUGAACGCAAAUGAAUUUGAUGGCAACGAUGACUCAUCUGACCUCCUCAAUUCAACUGCUGAUGAUUACGAUGGUGAUUUCGAAUGGGAAGAGGGAUUUUCCGCCAAAACUUCAGAGCAUCAGCUGGAGUUAGAACCCGCUCCAAAUCACUUAUCAGAAUCUGGUGAGUUAGUCUCAUUAUAUUUUAAUAUCUUGAUUGCCUGCCAAAUCUUUUUUGCUUAUAGGUUCCUUUGAGUACCUUUGAGUGAAGAAACCCUAUCUGAGAAAUGAAAAAAUGUUACGCUAAACAAUUGCUUCCUUAAAUGACAGCAAACUCUCAGUUGAGCUCAUGUCUCGCAACUCAAGAUUAGAUCGGCCUGCAGAUGCUAUACUU